UGGGAUGACGUCAAGUCCUCAUGGCCUUACGGUAGGGCUACACACGUGCUACAAUGGCAGUGACAAUGGGAUAAUCCCAAAAAGCUGUCUCAGUUCGGAUUGUCGUCUGCAACUCGACGGCAUGAAGGUGGAAUCGCUAGUAAUCGUGGAUCAGCAUGCCACGGUGAAUACGUUCCCGGGCCUU
RNAcentral lists this ribosomal RNA (184 nucleotides) under uncultured Hyphomonas sp. Its description in RNAcentral is "partial 16S ribosomal RNA". It matches the Rfam family "Bacterial small subunit ribosomal RNA", at positions 1175 to 1382 of the family's 1533-position model. The record is from RNAcentral. Lineage: Bacteria; Pseudomonadati; Pseudomonadota; Alphaproteobacteria; Hyphomonadales; Hyphomonadaceae.